CCUACGGGAGGCAGCAGUGAGGAAUAUUGGUCAAUGGGCGAGAGCCUGAACCAGCCAAGUAGCGUGAAGGAUGACGGCCCUAUGGGUUGUAAACUGCUUUUGUACGGGGGUAAACCGAGAUACGUGUACCUGGUUGCAAGUAUUGUAUGAAUAAGGAUCGGCUAACUCCGUGCCAGCAGCCGCGGUAAUACGGAGGAUCCGAGCGUUAUCCGGAUUUAUUGGGUUUAAAGGGUGCGUAGAUGGGUUGAUAAGUUAGUGGUGAAAGGUUGGGGCUCAACCGUGAAAUUGCAUUUAAUACUGGCAGACUUGAGUAUAGUUGCGGUAGGCGGAAUGUAUGGUGUAGCGGUGAAAUGCUUAGAGAUCAGGCAGAACACCGAUUGCGAAGGCAGCUUACUAAACUGUGACUGACGUUGAGGCACGAAAGCGUGGGUAGCAAACAGGAUUAGAUACCCCAGUAGUC
Molecule: ribosomal RNA, 460 nt
Filed under: uncultured bacterium
Lineage: Bacteria
Description: partial 16S ribosomal RNA
Rfam family: Bacterial small subunit ribosomal RNA
Source: RNAcentral